AGAAUCAACGCCGGCGGCGUGCCUAACACAUGCAAGUCGAACGAGAAAGUGGUAGCAAUACCAUGAGUAAAGUGGCGCACGGGUGAGUAACACGUGACUAACCUACCCUUGAGUGGGGAAUAACCUCGGGAAACCGGGCUAAUACCGCAUAACACCUACGGGUCAAAGGAGCAAUUCGCUUAAGGAGGGGGUCGCGGCAGAUUAGUUAGUUGGCGGGGUAAUGGCCCACCAAGACGGUGAUCUGUAUCCGG
This 251-nucleotide ribosomal RNA is filed under the name uncultured bacterium. RNAcentral's name for it is "partial small subunit ribosomal RNA". It matches the Rfam family "Bacterial small subunit ribosomal RNA", at positions 26 to 290 of the family's 1533-position model. The record is from RNAcentral.